AACGAACGCUGGCGGCAUGCCUAACACAUGCAAGUCGAACGAGACCUUCGGGUCUAGUGGCGCACGGGUGCGUAACGCGUGGGAACCUGCCCUUAGGUUCGGAAUAACUCCCCGAAAGGGGUGCUAAUACCGGAUAAUGUCUUCGGACCAAAGAUUUAUCGCCUUUGGAUGGGCCCGCGUUGGAUUAGCUAGUUGGUAGGGUAAACGCCUACCAAGGCGACGAUCCAUAGCUGGUCUGAGAGGAUGAUCAGCCACACUGGGACUGAGACACGGCCCAGACUCCUACGGGAGGCAGCAGUGGGGAAUAUUGGACAAUGGGCGAAAGCCUGAGCCAGCAAUGCCGCGUGAGUGAUGAAGGCCUUAGGGUUGUAAAGCUCUUUUACCCGGGAUGAUAAUGACAGUACCGGGAGAAUAAGCGCCGGCUAACUCCGUG
Molecule: ribosomal RNA, 433 nt
Filed under: uncultured bacterium
Lineage: Bacteria
Description: partial 16S ribosomal RNA
Rfam family: Bacterial small subunit ribosomal RNA
Source: RNAcentral